Molecule: ribosomal RNA, 422 nt
Filed under: uncultured bacterium
Lineage: Bacteria
Description: bacterial SSU rRNA
Rfam family: Bacterial small subunit ribosomal RNA
Source: RNAcentral
UGAGGAAUAUUGCGCAAUGGAGGAAACUCUGACGCAGCCAUGCCGCGUGCAGGAUGACAGCCCUACGGGUUGUAAACUGCUUUUCUGCAGGAAGAAUCCAUCCUACGUGUAGGGUGUUGACGGUACUGCAGGAAUAAGCAUCGGCUAACUCCGUGCCAGCAGCCGCGGUAAUACGGAGGAUGCAAGCGUUAUCCGGAUUCAUUGGGUUUAAAGGGUGCGCAGGCGGAUAUGUAAGUCAGAGGUGAAAGCCCGCAGCUUAACUGUGGAAUUGCCUUUGAUACUGCAUAUCUUGAGUCUGGUUGAGGUAGGCGGAAUGUAGUAUGUAGCGGUGAAAUGCAUAGAUAUACUACAGAACACCCAUUGCGAAGGCAGCUUACCAAACCAGCACUGACGCUCAGGCACGAAAGCGUGGGGAGCAAACA